GCCAGGUUAGCUCACUCGGUUAAGGCGCUGCAUUGCGGAGCAGUUGUGGCUACCACAGUGCGGGUUCGAUCCCCAGAUGCACCAGUCA
Molecule: non-coding RNA, 88 nt
Organism: Gymnothorax javanicus (giant moray)
Lineage: Eukaryota; Metazoa; Chordata; Actinopteri; Anguilliformes; Muraenidae
Source: the annotation of a GenBank genome assembly